AAUAUUGUUGCAGAAGGGUUAAACAUCCUUUUUAAAAGAGCCAAGGCAGAAGGUGUUAUUUCUGGAAUCAGUUUGGGUGUAAAUGGUCCAGUCAUUUCCCAUUUACAAUUUGCUGACAAUACCAUCAUUUUUUGUAAAAAUAACAGGGAGGAGGUCCAAUCAAUUAUGGGAAUUUUGUUUUCCUUUUCAGCUAAUUUCUGGCUUGAAAAUCAACUUCUCUAAAAGCCAAUUAUGUGGUAUUGGUAUGCCAGCUGAAAUUGUUGUCUUAUGCUAAGAUCUUGGGGUGUAAAGUGGUGGAUCUUCCAUUCAAUAUUUGGGGCUUCCUUUGGGGGCAAAUCCUAGGAGGAUUGAUACAUGGAAGUCUGUUAUUGAGAAUUUUGAGAAAAAAAUUAGCCUUUUAUAAUAGGAAGUACAUCACUCUGUGGGGGAAGGCUAACACUUAUUAACUCUAAUCUAGGUAAUUUACCUUUGUAUUAUAUGUCCCUAUUCAAAAUGCCCGUAACAGUUGCAAGAAAGCUUGAGAAGAUUCAAAGGCAGUUCUUAUGGGGUGAUACAAAUGAGAAAAGAAAGCUUCAUAUGGUUGGAUGGGAUAGGGUAACUAAAAGCAAGAAAAUAGGAGGUUUGGGUAUCAAAAGACUCUUAAUUCAGAAUGCAGCAUUACUAUGUAAAUGGUGGAGAUUUGGGGUGGAAAAAGAUGCACUGUGGGUGAAAGCAAUCAAUGGGAAGUAUGGUGAAUCUGGUUCCAUGUGGCUACCUUCUCAAUUGAACAAGCAAGGCAGUUUCUGAAAAAUAUGGGGGGAUAUCUGUGAAAUAGGUAAAGAAGGCUCAAAUCUUGAAAUGAUCAUUGCAGAGGGUUUCUGGAUCAAAGUGGGCUCUGGGUUACAAACUUCUUUUUGGAAAGAUGUCUGGUAUGGCAACCAAGCACUGAGGUAUGCAUUCCCUAUUCUAUUUAACGCUUCUAAUCAAAAGAAUGCCAGUGUUGGGGAGAUUUAUGAUUCUUCUAAUAUGUUAUGGAAUCUAACGUAUAGAAGAAGAUUAUUCUCCUGGGAAAAGGAGGAGGAGAAUGAGCUAAAAUGUAGUUUGAAUGCUAUAACAUUGCAGCCCAGCAAAAAAGACUCCUUGAGAUGGAGAUGGAAUAACCAAACUGAAAACUUCUCUGUUAAAUCUUGUUAUGAAAAGUGGGAGAAUGUGUUUAAUUCACAGAACCAUAUUGGACCUCUAUGCAAAAUGAUUUGGAAGAAUGCAUGUCCUUUCAAAGUUUAAGGUUUUCUUAUGGCAAGCGAUCCAAGAAAAAGUUGCAACUGGUUCGGAACUGUUGAAAAGGAAUAUUUUGAAUCAAAAGAAUGGUGAGGAGGGUUUAUGCCCUUUCUGCUCUCUGGAAUUGGAAACUGUGCCUCGCCUCUUUUUACAUUGUCCCAUAUCUUGGAAGAUAUGGUCCAAUAUUCUGAAUUGGUGGGGUAACAUGUGGGUUUGUCCUUCUAGUCUGAAUGAGCUUUUGUGUUGGUGGUUCACUAAUAAAUUCAAAUCUGUGGAAAAAGGGAGUUGGGAAAUAUGCUUCUAUGCCAUAAUCUGGUCCAUCUGGAUCGAGAGGAACCACAUCCUAUUCAGGAAUAAAGUUUUUGAUGAGGCGAAGUUAGUGGAGAAUAUCAAGACCAAGAUUGCUUUAUGGUUGAAAGCUUGUUAUGAUCUUAAAGAAUACACAGUGGAGGCUAUCAAAAGAUGCAUCCAAUGAGUCAGGAAAUUGAAAGCUGCUAAGAUUCACAGUUCUUAAGUUUUCUGUGUAUGGUGCGGGUUUUGGGAGUCUCUUUUUUUUUUUUGGGGCUUGGCAGGGUCAUGUUAGUUGUGUCUGAGUUUUGUUUGGGCUUCUGGUAUUUUGUCAUUUUUGUGAAUCUGGUAAUUGUGUUUAAGGGGUGGUGCCCGUGGUGGUGUUGGUUAGUGUUCUGUUUGGUUUGUGGUGCUUGUUUGGCUUUGGUCUUUGGUUAUCGUUGGGUUGGGUUGUCUUGGUUUUGUGCUGGUUUUUUCUGCUUUUGGUUGCAUUUGUAUCCCUCUGCCUUUGUUUUUGGGUUGCUGAUGGUGGUCAGGUCAGUGUGCUCUGGGUUGCGUCGGUUGAGUCUGGGUCUUUGUUGGUCUGUCAUGUGUAGUGUUUUGUUGCUGGUUUGAUCUUGUUGUCUGAUGCUCGGCUGCUGCGUGUUCUGGUUUGUCUGUAGAUGAUAGGGAUUCGUUUCCUUAGAUACAGUCUUUCCAGUUCUGUUCGUGCCUCAACAUCCAAAUGUUUCAUGCUGUCGAUGGAUAGGAAGCUCAUUGCCAGGUGCAGUUCAAAAUCAGAUUUGCUUCCCCUGGAAAAUCUCUAUGAUGAUGUGGUUUUAUUGGCAGUUCCCUGUUUGUUUUAGCUGUAUACGAAGUAAAGCUGUCUAAGAGGUUUGGUGCUCCAUGUUUCACUUCCAUUGCUUUGCUGCUGUUGAUGAUAAUAUCGUCAACGGAUUUUUCGAGACGGUUAGUACCUAUGACACUUUUGGGUCUUGGUGGUCUCAAAUCCAUUCCCUUUUGGUUACGAUGGUUUAGUUGCGGAGUAUGUGGCUAGUAGAAUUUGGUCUUGUUUUUCUUUUCCGUUGGCUCCUAGCUAACUUCUUUUUUUUCUUUGGUAGCGGGUGACAUAUGAUUGUCCUUAGCCUACAUGCCAACAUAGUUGGGAUGUAGGUUUUUGGUUGUGAUGCCGCUUUCUUCCCGCUCCCAUUUAAUCUUUGUAACUUUCUGUUCGGAGAUUAAUAAAAUUCUUUUGCCAAUAAAAAAAAAAAA
Long non-coding RNA from Rhododendron vialii, 2796 nucleotides. RefSeq lists it as uncharacterized. Lineage: Eukaryota; Viridiplantae; Streptophyta; Magnoliopsida; Ericales; Ericaceae. The transcript is spliced from 2 exons. The record is from RefSeq and is a predicted model, not a curated record.